RNAcentral lists this ribosomal RNA (2902 nucleotides) under Escherichia coli. RNAcentral describes it as "bacterial LSU rRNA". It matches the Rfam family "Bacterial large subunit ribosomal RNA". The record is from RNAcentral. Lineage: Bacteria; Pseudomonadati; Pseudomonadota; Gammaproteobacteria; Enterobacterales; Enterobacteriaceae.
UUAAGCGACUAAGCGUACACGGUGGAUGCCCUGGCAGUCAGAGGCGAUGAAGGACGUGCUAAUCUGCGAUAAGCGUCGGUAAGGUGAUAUGAACCGUUAUAACCGGCGAUUUCCGAAUGGGGAAACCCAGUGUGUUUCGACACACUAUCAUUAACUGAAUCCAUAGGUUAAUGAGGCGAACCGGGGGAACUGAAACAUCUAAGUACCCCGAGGAAAAGAAAUCAACCGAGAUUCCCCCAGUAGCGGCGAGCGAACGGGGAGGAGCCCAGAGCCUGAAUCAGUGUGUGUGUUAGUGGAAGCGUCUGGAAAGGCGCGCGAUACAGGGUGACAGCCCCGUACACAAAAAUGCACAUAUUGUGAGCUCGAUGAGUAGGGCGGGACACGUGGUAUCCUGUCUGAAUAUGGGGGGACCAUCCUCCAAGGCUAAAUACUCCUGACUGACCGAUAGUGAACCAGUACCGUGAGGGAAAGGCGAAAAGAACCCCGGCGAGGGGAGUGAAAAAGAACCUGAAACCGUGUACGUACAAGCAGUGGGAGCCUCUUUUAUGGGGUGACUGCGUACCUUUUGUAUAAUGGGUCAGCGACUUAUAUUCUGUAGCAAGGUUAACCGAAUAGGGGAGCCGAAGGGAAACCGAGUCUUAACUGGGCGUUAAGUUGCAGGAUAUAGACCCGAAACCCGGUGAUCUAGCCAUGGGCAGGUUGAAGGUUGGGUAACACUAACUGGAGGACCGAACCGACUAAUGUUGAAAAAUUAGCGGAUGACUUGUGGCUGGGGGUGAAAGGCCAAUCAAACCGGGAGAUAGCUGGUUCUCCCCGAAAGCUAUUUAGGUAGCGCCUCGUGAAUUCAUCUCCGGGGGUAGAGCACUGUUUCGGCAAGGGGGUCAUCCCGACUUACCAACCCGAUGCAAACUGCGAAUACCGGAGAAUGUUAUCACGGGAGACACACGGCGGGUGCUAACGUCCGUCGUGAAGAGGGAAACAACCCAGACCGCCAGCUAAGGUCCCAAAGUCAUGGUUAAGUGGGAAACGAUGUGGGAAGGCCCAGACAGCCAGGAUGUUGGCUUAGAAGCAGCCAUCAUUUAAAGAAAGCGUAAUAGCUCACUGGUCGAGUCGGCCUGCGCGGAAGAUGUAACGGGGCUAAACCAUGCACCGAAGCUGCGGCAGCGACGCUGAUGCGUUGUUGGGUAGGGGAGCGUUCUGUAAGCCUGUGAAGGUGUGCUGUGAGGCAUGCUGGAGGUAUCAGAAGUGCGAAUGCUGACAUAAGUAACGAUAAAGCGGGUGAAAAGCCCGCUCGCCGGAAGACCAAGGGUUCCUGUCCAACGUUAAUCGGGGCAGGGUGAGUCGACCCCUAAGGCGAGGCCGAAAGGCGUAGUCGAUGGGAAACAGGUUAAUAUUCCUGUACUUGGUGUUACUGCGAAGGGGGGACGGAGAAGGCUAUGUUGGCCGGGCGACGGUUGUCCCGGUUUAAGCGUGUAGGCUGGUUUUCCAGGCAAAUCCGGAAAAUCAAGGCUGAGGCGUGAUAACGAGGCACUACGGUGCUGAAGCAACAAAUGCCCUGCUUCCAGGAAAAGCCUCUAAGCAUCAGGUAACAUCAAAUCGUACCCCAAACCGACACAGGUGGUCAGGUAGAGAAUACCAAGGCGCUUGAGAGAACUCGGGUGAAGGAACUAGGCAAAAUGGUGCCGUAACUUCGGGAGAAGGCACGCUGAUAUGUAGGUGAAGUCCCUCGCGGAUGGAGCUGAAAUCAGUCGAAGAUACCAGCUGGCUGCAACUGUUUAUUAAAAACACAGCACUGUGCAAACACGAAAGUGGACGUAUACGGUGUGACGCCUGCCCGGUGCCGGAAGGUUAAUUGAUGGGGUCAGCGCAAGCGAAGCUCUUGAUCGAAGCCCCGGUAAACGGCGGCCGUAACUAUAACGGUCCUAAGGUAGCGAAAUUCCUUGUCGGGUAAGUUCCGACCUGCACGAAUGGCGUAAUGAUGGCCAGGCUGUCUCCACCCGAGACUCAGUGAAAUUGAACUCGCUGUGAAGAUGCAGUGUACCCGCGGCAAGACGGAAAGACCCCGUGAACCUUUACUAUAGCUUGACACUGAACAUUGAGCCUUGAUGUGUAGGAUAGGUGGGAGGCUUAGAAGUGUGGACGCCAGUCUGCAUGGAGCCGACCUUGAAAUACCACCCUUUAAUGUUUGAUGUUCUAACGUUGACCCGUGAUCCGGGUUGCGGACAGUGUCUGGUGGGUAGUUUGACUGGGGCGGUCUCCUCCUAAAGAGUAACGGAGGAGCACGAAGGUUGGCUAAUCCUGGUCGGACAUCAGGAGGUUAGUGCAAUGGCAUAAGCCAGCUUGACUGCGAGCGUGACGGCGCGAGCAGGUGCGAAAGCAGGUCAUAGUGAUCCGGUGGUUCUGAAUGGAAGGGCCAUCGCUCAACGGAUAAAAGGUACUCCGGGGAUAACAGGCUGAUACCGCCCAAGAGUUCAUAUCGACGGCGGUGUUUGGCACCUCGAUGUCGGCUCAUCACAUCCUGGGGCUGAAGUAGGUCCCAAGGGUAUGGCUGUUCGCCAUUUAAAGUGGUACGCGAGCUGGGUUUAGAACGUCGUGAGACAGUUCGGUCCCUAUCUGCCGUGGGCGCUGGAGAACUGAGGGGGGCUGCUCCUAGUACGAGAGGACCGGAGUGGACGCAUCACUGGUGUUCGGGUUGUCAUGCCAAUGGCACUGCCCGGUAGCUAAAUGCGGAAGAGAUAAGUGCUGAAAGCAUCUAAGCACGAAACUUGCCCCGAGAUGAGUUCUCCCUGACCCUUUAAGGGUCCUGAAGGAACGUUGAAGACGACGACGUUGAUAGGCCGGGUGUGUAAGCGCAGCGAUGCGUUGAGCUAACCGGUACUAAUGAACCGUGAGGCUUAACCUU